This 2152-nucleotide long non-coding RNA is filed under the name Homo sapiens (human). RNAcentral describes it as "HSALNT0244593". The record is from RNAcentral. Lineage: Eukaryota; Metazoa; Chordata; Mammalia; Primates; Hominidae.
GCACAGGGGGAAGGACAAUGAUUGGGAUAUAAACUCAGGCAUUCCAGCAGGGAGUGGCAACCCCCUUUGGGUCCCCUCCCUUGUAGGGGAGCUCUGUUUUCACUCUAUUAAAUCUUUCAACUGCACAUUCUUCUGGUCCGUGUUUGUUACGGCUCGGGCUGAGCUUUCCCUCGCCGUUCACCACUGCUGUUCGCCGCCAUCCCAGACCCACUGUUGACUUCCACACCCCCGGAUCCGGCAGGGUGUCCGCUGUGCUCCUGAUCCAGUGAGGCGCCCACUGCCGCUCCCGUUCGGGCUAGAGGCUCACCAUUGUUCAUGUGCGGCUAAGUGUCCGGGUUCGUCCUAAUCCAGCUGAACAGGAGUUGCUGGGUUCCACAGUUCUCGUCCAUGACCCACGGCUUCUAAUAGAGCUAUAACACUCACCUCAUGGCCCAACGUUCCAUUCCUUGGAAUCCAUGAGGCCAAGACCCCCAGUUCAGAGAAUAAAAGGCUUGCUGCCAUCUUGGGAGCCGCCUGCCCCAUCUUGGGAGCUCUAAGAACAAAGACCCGCCUAUAACAAUGGUAUGCUCUUCAUUUUCAAAGUGCUCCAACAACUCUUGCUGAGGUACAGGUCGUACACGCCUACCCAUUUCCUUCUUAUCAGAAGAGUGAAAACACUGCAGAAAACCACCUCUUCUGUUUGUAUUUUACUUCCGGAAACAUAUACAUCCCAUCAACCCUCUCUAUCUUCAGUUUACUAGUGAAUAAAGAAGGACUUAAAGAAAUCCCUUUCAAAAAGAGUAAUACUAACAAAAACAAAGGCAAGUUGAAAAUGUGGUGGACCUCACCCUCAGACCAGGUGAGCCUUCAGAUUCUGCACCUCGCUGGCCGUGCAUAAAGAAGGCUGGGACAUCCCUGAAUUCACAGUCAGGGUGGUCGUCUGUGUGCAGAACUGAAAGCAAACAAGAGAAACGUGGAGCCACGGAGGCCAAGGAAAUCUGAUCAGCUCCAGAUCCCCAAGUUGGUCUUUUUACACCCCUAAAGACACCAUGCUUGCUCCUUCUCCAAGACUCAUAAGGAAAUACAAAUGACUUUGAAAUAUCAGCCACUGUUAACUGGAUCAGAUUCCUCCAGUAAAUAUGAGAGAAGAGUCAUGACUUUUGCUCAGUCAUUAAAAUAAGAGACACAAGGAUUGGUAUGGGGUAUCCCUAGCAGAAUUUAUUCAAGGAAGCCUAAUCAAUAUCCCCCAUCUCACUAUUUCUUCAGACACGUGCUAAGUUUACAUAUUCGAAUCAAAUUAACAUAUCAGAGUCACAAAUUGGCAAUGGUGUCAAAAUACCUAUCCUCACCAUUCUAAAUCAUUUUUCACAUUAAAUAUGUCAAGGGCUAUGUUUGCGUGCAUAAGUCAAAAGAAGAGAAAUAAAGCAAUACAUUAAGAAGUUGGUGACAUAAGCUUAUUUAUUUAGUUAUUUAUUUUUGCCUAUUACUGGUAGAGAAAAAUGUAUUUAGUUUGCUCUAUUACAGGUAGAGAAAAAUUAUAUUUUGUUGUUCUGAGUGAAACCAGUGAUAAUCAUUUUACCUCUUCUUUUAAGUAGUAUAGAAGUCUAACAUUUUCAUUGCUUAUUGCCAGAACUUAAGUGCUAAGAUUUUUUCUAUAUUGUCUGAUUUGAUUCAUACAUAUAAUGUUGAGAUUCAAGAAUUAUUAUCCCAUUUACCAGAUGAGGAAGUGGAGGUACAGAAGUUUUAGAAAAGGGAAUUAGCCUCCGCUUCUAUUCUAUUAAGCCACUAUAUUUCAGAAGGCAUAGAGUAUCUAUUUUGCAUUUGGGUUGGGGGAGAUGGAGAUUUGCCCUAACUUUGAUUCUUUUAGGUCAAGAAUAAUUUCUUUCAGAACCCGGAUGGUUUUCUUAUUUCCAUAAAAUGGGUUGCCACAUUAGGCCUCAGAGUCCACCAAAUGAACGGUUCUUCUCUUCUGCUGUCCCUCAAAUUUGUGAUAUGUAAAAUAUGUGUGAAGAUGCAGAUAACAUGUGGGAUCUCAUUGGCUCUACCAUUCCUUAGAGAAAAUAGAUCUAGCUUGCUCAAAAGGAGACUAUUAUCUGACUGCCUGAAUAGAUCCCAUUACAGGAAAAAUUGACUGAAAUAUUGUCAAAUGUGUUCCAGCAAUAAAAUUCAGGUA